Lolium rigidum is the source of this 1428-nucleotide long non-coding RNA. RefSeq lists it as uncharacterized. The record is from RefSeq and is a predicted model, not a curated record. The transcript is spliced from 3 exons. NCBI's taxonomy places the organism in Eukaryota, Viridiplantae, Streptophyta, Magnoliopsida, Poales, Poaceae.
UGCGUCCUAGCUUGUUUAGAUUGGGAGUGCUAGCUUAUCUAAAGGAUCUUUCGUGCUAGAAUUUUUUUGUCUUUGAUUGCAUGACAUUUUUUUUUGUAUAUUUCAAUAGGAGCAACACAAUAGAGGAGGAGCAGCUGCAAAUGCCUAACUGUGAUGAAGAGGAACCAGCGGAAAGCAGCCCGUCAUCAUCAACAUCCACCACCAUAGCUGCUACUGAGGUUAUCUGCUGGGACUACUGUGAGCUGCUGCUGGAAUUUUUUGCUGAACUUUCUCAGCUGUUUGAGAAGUAAUAGAUAAUUUCAGUGUUCUUUUUGCUGAUGAAGAACAGUGAUGUUCUGUUGAUUAAGAGCAAGAGCAGGGGUCCUUUAGCAUGCCAACAAAUUAUCUCCAGAUUUGCGUUCUUUGCCUAUAUCGUCUCUGUCAACAGCUCGAGCACGGCCAGCAGGACUUAAGGACAUGGUCAGGACAUUAGUAAUCAUCUCCCCCUAAUCAUGAUUUAUGUCAUUUUCCUCUAUUUAGUUCCCACAGGUUAUGGUGUCUUUUUAUUCGAUUAGGUUUGUGAUACCUGCCGGACAUUUGAUCCAAAAAUUUAUUUAAGUAUGCAGCUCUUGGUGUGGCUACCUAUUGUUCUAUCGAGAAAAUUGAUUCCAUAUAUUUUUACACUCUUUAUUGAACAAUAUAUUUCUACACGUUAGUCAUUUGUACGGUGCAGGUUCAUGAACAAUAAUGGUUGUAGAAUGAUUCCAUAUUUUCUCUGAUUGAGUGCCCAAUUCAUACAUGUUUUGAUUCUUUAUGUUUUAUCCUAAUUUAUUCACGAGGUCUUGAAAGUUUUCCCCUUAUGUCAGACUGGUCAUAACUAAUUAUUGGCCACCAUCUUUAAUUAUGUAACAAGUUAUGUGAAUAGUUUCUAUCAAUGUAUAUGUUGCUGGUAGCAGUGACCAAUCAGCAAAAUGCCUUGUUGCUUCUCAUCGGAUGCUUUCUCAAUUAUGCGCGUGGCUGAGGUUUCUGACAACGAAUCUGGUGGGGCGGAACACAUUGUCGUCGUCUCUUGGUGCGUAGAGUUCACUCUUCACACUCAUUAUCGUGGCUCCAUGUGUUGACUGACUAUCCAGGCUGCAUUUCCAAGAUGUCUUCCUCAUUUGUUUUCUUAAGCUGAUGCACGGUGUGAUUGAGUUAUUUGUUAUCUUAACAUAACUAUUACGCUUCUAUGUUAAAUCGUAAAAAAAAUUACUCCUUCCAAAUAAGAUGUUUAUUUCUUGAAUAUGGAAGGCUAUUGUGUUCGUCUACAUGUCAUGCUCUGGAUUUCUUCACAGACAGAUGUAGGUCUGCAACUUUUGACUAACUAAAAUAUUAUUUUCAUAUUUUAUUUGUAUCUGCCCUCUAAAGUCAUGAAUUUAAGUAUUUUGUAGAUCCUUUUCUGUCAUAUAU